This 2896-nucleotide long non-coding RNA is filed under the name Homo sapiens (human). RNAcentral's name for it is "HSALNT0301400". The record is from RNAcentral. Lineage: Eukaryota; Metazoa; Chordata; Mammalia; Primates; Hominidae.
CCUCUCUCCACGUCCACGGCGCCGAGUCUCGCCACGGUGGCGCAGGCGCCAGGGAGGUUCCCCGGCUUUGCCGCGCGGAGGAAGUCCCGGUUACGCAGAGCGCGCUGGGGCAGGGCUGACCUUCCCCUUUCUCUACUUCACUGGCCUCCUCCAGACGUGGUGGUUGCGCCCUUUCGGCCUCGCUUUCCGUUUUUUGGCUUCAUCCCCUAGAUCUGCAAACAGUUCCUCGUGUUUCUUCCGUUAGCCGGGAAACGCGAACUGCAGCGUUUGGGACCCGGGUUUGCGCGUGUGGAAAGCAAAAGGGGUUACUCUGCUGGAGUUCGACAUUGCAAAUAAAGGUCUUUAUCCCCGGCGGUUCUACAAAAUUAGUUCUGCAGGGAUUCUGGUUGAAAGAAGCGUUAAAGUGGGCCUUGUAGGAGUCAGCAAUAAUCCAAUUUUACAUGGGUGCAGGUGGCUGCCUGUGUCUAGCGCUUUCACACAUCUCAUAUCUUCAUCCACGCCGUGGGUAUUUUUUUUCCACGGUGUGUUUCUGUUGCUGCCUCCAGUAUAUUGCUUAAUCAUCCUACCUGGUAAUUAUUUAUGCAUUUUUCUCCUACUCUCGACUCAGCUCCUAGGGAAUAAAAACACAUUAACUUAUCUUUGUGCCCACAGCACCCACCAAGUAUUUCCAUCACGUAAUACUGCCUCUAGAAAGGCAGGAGGAGAAGCAGUCACGCUAAGGAUCUAGGCAAGCCAGAUCUUUUGUCCGGUUUUAGGAGGUGGCCAGCCCUUACUUAUUCCACAAGUGUUUUUCCAGAAACUCAGACUUGAUAUUGCCUCAAGUCCAAGGCAGUGUGCUUCCCCCACUCACAUAUCACUAAUAGUAGCUAACAUUUGUUCAGAUCCCUGUAUGUACUCUGCCACUGUUUUAAAUGUUACACCCGGGUUACCUCAUUUAAUCCUUACAACUGCCCUGUGAGGUAGGUACUAUUAUUAUCUCUACUUUGUAGAUGGGAUUCACCGAGGCACAGACGGUUAAAAAACCUAGCCCAAAUAACACAAAUAAACAGCAGAGCAUGCAGUGCUAGAGUCUGCAUUCUUAACAAUUGCUAUAUUCUCCCUCUCCGUGAAUGUGGGCUGAGAUGCUGAAACAGGCAUGUGCUGUGGGGGAGAAAAAGCUUUGUCCAACCAAGUGCUUUCUAAUGUCCAGAUGACAUAGAGCUAGGAUUUCCUAAUGUCUUUUUUCCCCUAUUUUUCUCUCCAUUUCAGGGUUGAGUUUGUGCAUCGAUUGUGAACACAACAGGCAGCAGGCUAUAAUGGUGGUCCUGGCUGGAGUAGUUUUCACAGACUUCAGUAAUCUGUGGAGAUGAACGGGCAGUUCUCUGUAGUUUUCACAGAUCACUGCCAGUUCGUUUUGAGGCCUUCAGGAGUGAAGACCUGGCUCAUCAUCACUCUUUGUUGUUUUGUUAAAUUUAUUUACACCCUACUUUAUUCCAGAGGAAAGGAUUUAACGUAGUUUACAUAAAUGUGUACAUCAGGGUAAAUUAAAAAUAAGUACAGAGAAAAAUAGGACAAAAGAAAACCGUGAGUGUGAAAGAUAAGAUUAAGCCAGCAGUUUUGUAUGCAAAAUGCAUGGUGUAAGGUCCUAUUGGUUUGCUGGAGGUAGGCCACACAUAUGACUCUCAGUUUUCUAGCAACCAAGAAAAAGAUCAGUUGCAAUCGGAGUAGGUGUUUUGGCUAAGCUGGAACUAGGACUUGAAUAUAGCAGCUUGUAGAGUUAUACCACUUGCCCAAAUCUCUUCCAUGAGCCUCUUUAAGUGUAACAGAAUGCCUGGGAGCACGUAAAUGCUCCUACUUAGAUGCCUACUUAGCCUCUAAUUUUCAUGGGGCCCAUGAAUCCCAUGAAAAAGAACUUUGAACCCUGUCCACAAUUAGAGUUCAGGUAUACGCAGACAUGUUUAAAGACAAGGGACACCCAAAGGAAAGAUUGCACAGAGAGAAAGUGAGCAUCCGAGAGAAAAUCACCACAAGUGAGGCAGAGGGAGGCCGGUCUCAGCAGAGUUUUGGAGGUCGUGAGAAGAAGAGGUAGGAGAUAGGAGAGUGGUUCCGAGUACUUGCCUGCUGAUGUUACCUUCUCCACCCCCACCAGGUUUUCCAGUGCCUGGAGUCUUGGGCAGGAAUGGGCCACUGUAAGAAAGAGCUUUAUCACUAGGGCCUCAGCCAACUUUUCUGUGGGAUAUCCCUCCAAAAUAAUUAAGAGUUCAGAAUGCUUCAGAUUUUGAAGUGAAACUGGUACAUAUAUUAAGUGUUACUUAAUAACCCGAUAGUUUCUAGGGCAGCUCACCAUAAUCCCAAGUAUUAGCCACCACCCUCACCCCCUUCAGAGUAAAAUGUGUUUCCUGAAGGAAGUUGGGAAAAUGAAGAAAAAAAAUACAAAAAUCACCUAUAAUCUUACCAGUCAUAGAUGGCAGUUUUCCUGUCUUAUUUCUGAAUAAUGGUUGUUAAACAUUUGCCAGCACACCAUAAGGCUUAGGGAGGCAUCUGGGUCAUGCAUGUUAAUAUCCUUGGGUAAUUCCAGAAAUCUCUAUGAAGGGAAACUCCUGUUAUUUAUCUAGACUUCCUGAUUGCAAGGGGUUUGGGCAUCAUGAUUUAGGGGUCUUAAUAAAAUUAUUAUUUUAUUUUUACUAAUAGAUAAUGUCUGUGCCUAUCAGAUAAAGGCAAACCAGUGCUCAGAGGAACCCAACCAUCUCUGAAUUGAGACCAGAGAGCUGUCUCUAUGGAUAGUCCUUAGAGAAGGCAUUUCGGAACACAGUAAACAGCAGCCUGGUGACUCCGAUUACAGGGCCAGUUGCCUUUGUUACAAUAAAAGCAAGUCAUCUACACAGGCUGAAGGGAAGUGGCGUGAACAUGGCUCAGU